This 423-nucleotide ribosomal RNA is filed under the name Tachygerris quadrilineatus. RNAcentral describes it as "partial 16S large subunit ribosomal RNA". The record is from RNAcentral. Lineage: Eukaryota; Metazoa; Arthropoda; Insecta; Hemiptera; Gerridae.
UCUUUUGAUAUUUUAUAUAAGAUCGGACCUGCCCAUUGAUUUUUAAGAAUUAAAAGGCUGCGGUAUUUUAACUGUACGAAGGUAGCAUAAUCACUUGUCUUUUAAUUGGAGGCUAGAAUGAAUGGUUUGAUGAAAAAUAAACUUUCUUUUCUUUAUUAAUUUGAAUUUAAUUUUUUAGUUAAAAAGCUAAAAUAUUUUUAUAGGACGAGAAGACCCUAUAGAAGUUUACUACAUUUAUAAAAUAUAAUUUUUUGUUUAUAAAAUUAUUUUUUAGAAGAUGAAGUUUUGUUGGGGUGACAUUAAAAUUUAUAUAACUUUUAAUAUUUAUAUCACAAAUUUGUGUUUAUUUUGAUCCAGAAUUUUUGAUUAUAAGAUUAACUUACCUUAGGGAUAACAGCGUAAUUUUUUCGGAGAGUUCAUAUU